UGGGGAAUUUUGGACAAUGGGGGAAACCCUGAUCCAGCCAUCCCGCGUGUGCGAUGAAGGCCUUCGGGUUGUAAAGCACUUUUGGCAGGAAAGAAACGUCAUGGGUUAAUACCCCGUGAAACUGACGGUACCUGCAGAAUAAGCACCGGCUAACUACGUGCCAGCAGCCGCGGUAAUACGUAGGGUGCAAGCGUUAAUCGGAAUUACUGGGCGUAAAGCGUGCGCAGGCGGUUCGGAAAGAAAGAUGUGAAAUCCCAGAGCUCAACUUUGGAACUGCAUUUUUAACUACCGGGCUAGAGUGUGUCAGAGGGAAGUGGAAUUCCGCGUGUAGCAGUGAAAUGCGUAGAUAUGCGGAGGAACACCGAUGGCGAAGGCAGCCUCCUGGGAUAACACUGACGCUCAUGCACGAAAGCGUGGGGAGCAAACAGG
This 429-nucleotide ribosomal RNA is filed under the name Acidobacteriota bacterium. Its description in RNAcentral is "Acidobacteria bacterium partial 16S ribosomal RNA". It matches the Rfam family "Bacterial small subunit ribosomal RNA", at positions 355 to 776 of the family's 1533-position model. The record is from RNAcentral. Lineage: Bacteria; Pseudomonadati; Acidobacteriota.